CCAUGGUUCGCGUGCAAUGCCAUCAUCACUGCUGUGCCUAGUAUUGAGGGCGUAAUCAACCCAUCACUGGCGAACUACCACUCUUAAAACCACUAGGAGGAGCUUCGGAUUCUAGCUUAGUCUUAGAAUCGCCCAACAUUUGCCUAUUGACUUAUGUGAUGGCUGGUAUAUUAGGUACCGCCAAAGGACGAUAAAAACUCCCUGCUUUGACGAUUUCAAGCUCCUCAUGGGCCUCCGGAUGAAGAUACUGAUGAGACACUAGAGGAUAAGACCUGUAGCGAUCCAAUCUGACGAAAGCAGAUAGCAAAAUCUGUAGAUAUCGCGGGAAGUCCAUACUGAUCAUCGUAUUGCUGGAACUAGGAGCUUCUUUGACACCACUACAAUUGUGGAAGGAAGCCAAUGCACACUUGACAGUCCAGUUAACUCCACCAAACAUUCAUUAUUGACUAAGCUUUUGUGGCUUUUGCCUUCAAUGCAUAGCCGUGAAUGAUUGUAUAGCCCUUGAGUUUCUUUGGAUCUCCUCUUAUUUUGCUGAGACAGCAGAAGUAGCUUGGAUCUCCCCACACGGCAGGGGCCAAAGGAGCUCACUGGUGGAAUUUGCAACUGAACAACAAGAUACCCUCAAGAUCUCUGAGAGGUUUUCAACUAUCAGAAGAUAUGCACCCCACAUCAAGUUUACUCAGUUCAGGAGCCUCUUCUUACCCUAAGAUAUUGACAUUUUCCAGUCCGAUCCGCAAUACAUUAGUGAGGGUGAAUCUGUUAGAGAUUCUCAGCGAUAGGGGAUCUUUUGUAAGUUUUCGCUUUAGAAAGCUAUGUCUGAUGUGCUGAGGCUAUUUUUUUUAUUAUUUCUCCAGAGAAUUAUAUCUCAAAUUAUCACAAAAGCAAUUGAUCAUCCUCAUGACAUAGCAGCCACCUGAGAGCUCAACGAUGUACCGAAGCAGUUGGCGAUGCUUGUAUGGGCC
RNAcentral lists this small RNA (962 nucleotides) under Histoplasma capsulatum var. duboisii H88. Its description in RNAcentral is "Histoplasma capsulatum H88 hypothetical RNA". Lineage: Eukaryota; Fungi; Ascomycota; Eurotiomycetes; Onygenales; Ajellomycetaceae. The record is from RNAcentral.